This 492-nucleotide ribosomal RNA is filed under the name uncultured bacterium. RNAcentral describes it as "partial 16S ribosomal RNA". It matches the Rfam family "Bacterial small subunit ribosomal RNA", at positions 30 to 507 of the family's 1533-position model. The record is from RNAcentral.
AUUGAACGCUGGCGGCAUGCUUUACACAUGCAAGUCGAACGGUAACAGGCCUUCGGGUGCUGCCGAGUGGCGAACGGGCGAGUAAUGCAUCGGAACGUGCCCAGAGGUGGGGGAUAACGCAGCGAAAGCUGUGCUAAUACCGCAUGUGAUCUGAGGAUGAAAGCGGGGGACCAGGCAGCAAUGUUUGGCCUCGCGCCUUUGGAGCGGCCGAUGUCAGAUUAGGUAGUUGGUGGGGUAAAGGCCUACCAAGCCGACGAUCUGUAGCUGGUCUGAGAGGACGACCAGCCACACUGGGACUGAGACACGGCCCAGACUCCUACGGGAGGCAGCAGUGGGGAAUUUUGGACAAUGGGCGCAAGCCUGAUCCAGCAAUGCCGCGUGCGGGAAGAAGGCCUUCGGGUUGUAAAGCGCUUUUGUACGGAACGAAAAGGCUCUGGCUAAUACCUGGGGCUGAUGACGGUACCGUAAGAAUAAGCACCGGCUAACUACGUG